GUUUAGAUCCGAUGUUAUAAAUAACAGAGGAUCCUGAUAGCGUGCUGGAUCCCUAAUAAGAGUGGUAGCAAGCAAAAGUUCCUACUCUAAUCUAGAUGUGUAUUCGAUAAUCGGCUACAAUGUAUGUUAGAUACAGAGAGACAGUAUAGAUUGUAAAAUUAGCUGUAUAGUGAUACACUUGAACGGGAAAGAGUAGAAGCAUGCUAAGGGUCUAUAGCCAUCCCUGCGG
Non-coding RNA from Pelobates cultripes (western spadefoot toad), 229 nucleotides. The record is from the annotation of a GenBank genome assembly. Lineage: Eukaryota; Metazoa; Chordata; Amphibia; Anura; Pelobatidae.